UAUGUGAUAGAGUGUGGUUGGCAUCCAUCAUCUCUUCCCAGAUGCUCUCUUGGACAUCCUCCAAAACCUAGUGGCUAAUACACGGUCGACACGGUCUGCCAAAUGCCUCAGCAAGCAUUGAUUAUUCUCUCUGUUCUCUGUUGGCUCUAUUGGGACGGUGGCCUCAAGCCUCCUCGUCCCGCGGCUCCCUCCGGGGUGCCCGCGGGCACCGUCCCACAACCCACAAGGGACUGCCUACAGUGGCUGGUGUUCCACUGGGCACCCUGUGGUGGAUUGCACCCAGUCGCGCUGAAGACCCGCACCUGGAACAAUGGUAGUAUGCUAUGGCUGACUCAGACUGGUCCCUGACCUGUAUCUCCAAGUCUCUAUUGUGGACAGUUGCACUGGCAGAGUGGUGGUCUCCGGGCCACAGCGAAUUGCUUGAUCACACGGGCUUCUGACCUAUCAGCUUUGACUGUGGCGUAUUGGACCACAGUGGCCAUGACGGGUAACAGAGAAUCAGGGUUCGAUUCUGGAGAGGGAGCCUGAGAAAUGGCUACCACUACCAAGGUGGGCAGCAGGCACGCAAAUUGUCCAAUGCUGAUGCAAUCUUCUGGCGAGACAGCAACGAACUGCAGCAAUCCCGCCUGUCCUCUGUGACCAGUGGGACUUGUAAUGGAUGCUAUCCAAACACAGUGAUGAGUAUCAACUGGAGGGCAAGUCUGGUGCCAGCAGCUGCGGUAAUUCCAGCUCCAAGAGUGUACACUAACAUUGCUGCUGUUAAAACACUUGUAGUCGGAUGCCGGGUGUUGGUCUGCCCUGGGCCACCCUCUGCCCCAAGGAUGAUGUGUGGUGCUCUGUGCUGGUCACACCACCCACAGCGGCGGGCAAGUGGAACUCAACCCUGGGCAGUACGCUCCAUCACCCUCUCAUUGUCUCUGAUGGUGUGAUUGGCCCCUGCUUAGCAAGUCUCCUUCAGUGGGGAUCGAUGCGGUGAUUACAACCAAUGCAUGUGUGUCUGGCAGGCGUGCCUCUCAAUGUUUUGGGAGGUUUGCCACAAAGCCUUGAGAUUCAGCGGGGAAAGAUUGUCUGGCCCUCUGCAACGCCCGUGGUCUCCGUGCUGUGCAACGUCCCUUGCCCACCACCGGGGUCCACCAUCGCAGCUACUGUGGAGAACUCAGUGUGCCUCAAGCAGCCUCCUUUGGCUGGAUGCUCGUCCAUGGAAUGGCAAAGCAUUGACCUGAUGUGGCCUGUGGAGUUGUGCUGGCCUUGGUGCUCAUUCAGGGGAGUCUGGUGCAGUGGCCCAUGGGGACUGGGCCCAAGUGUGACUGUUGCUCUUUCGCCACGAUCCUGAUGUCUUCUCUCGGCCGGACGCAACACAACGAUUGCAGGCGUGUUGUGCAUAGCCAAAGCAGUGCUUCAGCAAGCUGUCUGUCCUAUCUUGCAAUCAUGUCCCACUGGGUCUCAACCCUGUGGAAGUGCUGUACCUCUCAAGCGCGAUGGGAUUGCUCGGGGUGAAGGAUACUGCAGUGCCAGUGGUGAAAUACUCAGACCGCUGCAAGAUCAACCGCAGCGAAGGCACUCUGCAAGGGCAUGUUCGUCGAUCAAGAAUGAGAGUGUGGGGAGCGAAGAUGAUCAGACACCGUCGUAGUCCACCACUGUAAACCAUGCCAGCUCAGUGCUGGAGGUGCACAGCUUUCCCUGACUCCUCCAGCUCUAUGCCCCCAGCAACGAGAAAUCCCAAGCUUGUGGGUUCAGGGGGAAGUACUGUCGCAAGGCUGAAACUUAAAGGAAUUGACGGAAUGGCACCNCCAGGCGUGGAGUAUGCGGCUUAAUUUGACUCAACACGGGGAAUGUUACCAGGUCAGGACACUGCAAGGAUGGACAGAUUGAGGGCUCUUUCUCGAUUCUCUGGAUGGUGGUGCAUGGCCGCUCCUGAUUGGUGGGGUGACUUGUCUGGUUGAUUCCGAUAACGAGUGAGAUCUCUGCCUCCCAGUAGCCCCGGCCUCGCAUUUGGUAGAGUGGGCCUGGGUGGUGCGCAGUGGCUGCCCCAAUCCUGGUGGCAGCACCACUGUGUCACUUCACCCUGCGUCCCUCGAGAGGCCAUGGGCAUUUCCGCGGCUUCUCUGAGGUGCUGUGUGUGCUGCCAAACACAUGCAUGCCAGAGCCAACAGCAGGUCUGUGAUGCUCCCAGAUGUCCUGGGCCGCACGCGCACUACACUGCCCUGGUGAAUGAGUCUUGCAUCUGCCUCGUACUGUGCCCUGAGUGGAAGUGCUCGGGAAACCUGUUGAGCCCAUGCUGUCUGGGCGUGCUGGGGAUAGCUGAUUGCAACUGUCUGCCUUGAACGAGGAAUGCCUAGUAAGUCCCAGUCAUCAGCUGGACNAUGUCAC
This 2370-nucleotide ribosomal RNA is filed under the name Phacus elegans. Its description in RNAcentral is "SSU rRNA". It matches the Rfam family "Eukaryotic small subunit ribosomal RNA", at positions 118 to 1653 of the family's 1831-position model. The record is from RNAcentral. Lineage: Eukaryota; Euglenozoa; Euglenophyceae; Euglenales; Phacaceae.